Molecule: long non-coding RNA, 383 nt
Filed under: Vigna radiata
Lineage: Eukaryota; Viridiplantae; Streptophyta; Magnoliopsida; Fabales; Fabaceae
Description: long non-coding RNA (VRAD_LNC007490)
Source: RNAcentral
GCGGAUGAAGCUUGUUUAUGGAGAUAUGCGGGUUUGGACUUGGGAGAGAGAGGUUUUAAUCCAUAAUAAUAUUUGUAGGGAUGAAAAGUAAAUUUACCAAAUUAUCCUUGUCUGGGUGUGAACUGUGAUGACUGGAUGUGGAAGUGAUGAAAGAAAGAGGUUGGUAGAGAUGAAGAAGCUGGAAAAAAGUGUAGGCCGGAGGUUUCCAUAGAUGUACAGGUGUUGGAAAUGGUUCAGGUUAUGGACGGUUGAAGAUGACAGUUGUAGAACACGAGUGCUUAAUUAUAAUUAUAGUAAUAAUAAUAUAAUAAGUUUUAUUUUUGUAAUUUUAAAUAAUAUAAUUUAUUUUAUUUUAGCAUAAUUUUUAUUUUUAUAUUUAAAUU